RNAcentral lists this ribosomal RNA (440 nucleotides) under uncultured bacterium. RNAcentral describes it as "partial 16S ribosomal RNA". It matches the Rfam family "Bacterial small subunit ribosomal RNA", at positions 338 to 795 of the family's 1533-position model. The record is from RNAcentral.
CCUACGGGUGGCAGCAGUGGGGGAUAUUGGACAAUGGGGGAAACCCUGAUGCAGCGACGCCGCGUGAGUGAAGAAGGAUUUCGGGAUGUAAAGCUCUAUUAGCAGGGAAGAAAAUGACAGUAUCUGAGCAAGAAGCCCCGGCUAACUCCGUGCCAGCAGACGCGGUAGUACGCGGGGGGCAAGCGUUUACCGGAUUUAUUGGGGGUACAGGGGGCGUAGACGGUUGUGUAAGAGUCGAGUGAAAUCCCGGGGCCCAACCCCGGAACUGCUUUGGAAACUGUGUAACUGGAGUACAGGAGGGGCAGGCGGAAUUCCUGGUGUAGCGGUGAAAUGCGUAGAUAUCAGGAGGAACACCGGCGGCGAAGGCGGUCUGCUGGACUGAAACUGACGUUGAGGCUCGAAAGCGUGGGGAGCAAACAGGAUUAGAUACCCUAGUAGUC